Molecule: non-coding RNA, 844 nt
Filed under: Achatinella sowerbyana
Lineage: Eukaryota; Metazoa; Mollusca; Gastropoda; Stylommatophora; Achatinellidae
Source: RNAcentral
UAAGCUAUUGGGCUCAUAACUCAAAAAUGAUUUGAUCUUUUUAGAAAUAAAAUAAUUUAAUUUAAUAUAAAAAAUUACAGAAUUAAACUUUUAAUAUGGAAGUUAAGGUUAAAUCCAGUAAAAAAUAUUAUAAAAUAAUGAAAAUUAAUUUUAAAUUCUAAUUAAUUUUUUGAUUAAUAAAGUGCCAGCAAUCGCGGUCAUACUUUAAUAAAAAUUUUAAAUAUAAUUAAUAUUUUAAUUUACAUAAAUAAAAAGAAUUUUUAAAAGUAAAAUUCAAAAUUCUUAUAAAACUUUUUUUAUCAAAAAUAAAAUUAAAUUUAAUAUUUAAACUAGGAUUAGAUACCCUACUAUUCUAAAAUUAAACAUAAAAUAUGGAGUAUUACAUUACAAAACAAAUAAUUUAAACUCUAAAAAUUAUGGCGGCUAAAAUAAAAAAACAGGGGAACUUACCACAUCAUAGACAAUCAUCUAGAAAUCUAAUAUUUUUUAAAAGUUUGUAUGCCGUCGUCACAAAAUAAAAUUUAUUAUUUUAUUAAAAAAUUGAAAUUUAUAUUGAUUUAAUUUAAAUCAAUUUCAAUUAUAUGUCAGAUCAUGGUGCAACCAAUAAAAAUAAGGUAGGCGAGUUACAAUAGUAAAAAACUUACCAUAAUAAUUAAUGAAUAAUUUUAUAAAGGUUGGACUUGAAUGUAAUUAUUAAAUAAGUAUUAAAUAUUGAAUAAUAUUUGUUUUAGUGCACAAAUCGCCCGUCACUCUCGUUGAAAAUAUUUUUAAAAUAUUAAAAAUAUUAAUAAAAGGAGAUAAGUCGUAACAAAGUAAGAAUAGUGGAAACUGUUCUUUUCUUAAU